This 485-nucleotide ribosomal RNA is filed under the name uncultured bacterium. RNAcentral's name for it is "bacterial SSU rRNA". It matches the Rfam family "Bacterial small subunit ribosomal RNA", at positions 17 to 507 of the family's 1533-position model. The record is from RNAcentral.
UCCUGGCUCAGGAUGAACGCUAGCGGCAGGCUUAACACAUGCAAGUCGAGGGUAUAGUUCUCGGAAUUAGAGACCGGCGCACGGGUGCGUAACGCGUAUGCAAUCUACUUCACAGAGGGAUAGCCCAGAGAAAUUUGGAUUAAUACCUCAUAGUAUAGCAGUUUCGCAUGAAACCACUAUUAAAGUCACAACGGUGAAAGAUGAGCAUGCGUCCCAUUAGCUAGUUGGUAAGGUAACGGCUUACCAAGGCAACGAUGGGUAGGGGGUCCUGAGAGGGAGAUCCCCCACACUGGUACUGAGACACGGACCAGACUCCUACGGGAGGCAGCAGUGAGGAAUAUUGGACAAUGGGCGCAAGCCUGAUCCAGCCGUGCCGCGUGCAGGAUGACGGUCCUAUGGAUUGUAAACUGCUUUUAUACAGGAAGAACACUACUUCGUGAAGUAGCUUGACGGUACUGUAAGAAUAAGGAUCGGCUAACUCCGUG